Molecule: ribosomal RNA, 284 nt
Filed under: uncultured bacterium
Lineage: Bacteria
Description: partial 16S ribosomal RNA
Rfam family: Bacterial small subunit ribosomal RNA
Source: RNAcentral
GACGAACGCUGGCGGCGUGCUUAAUACAUGCAAGUCAACUUGACUUUAGAUAGCAAUAUCGAAAAGUAGGGUGGCGCACGGGUGCGUAACGCGUAGGUAAUCUGCCUGAGGUCUGACAUAACCCGUCGAAAGGCGGGCUAAACAUCAGAUGAUAUAUAAUCACGACAUCGUGGAAAUAUCAAAUCUUCGGAGCCUUGGGAUGAGCCUGCGUCUGAUUAGGUAGUUGGCGGAGUAAUAGCCCACAAGCCUACGAUCAGUAGCUGGUCUGAGAGGAUGAUCAGCCA